Pollicipes pollicipes is the source of this 807-nucleotide long non-coding RNA. RefSeq lists it as uncharacterized. NCBI's taxonomy places the organism in Eukaryota, Metazoa, Arthropoda, Thecostraca, Pollicipedomorpha, Pollicipedidae. The transcript has 2 exons. The record is from RefSeq and is a predicted model, not a curated record.
ACGCUGGCCACUCGGCGCCAGGCGGAGGCGGCGCUGGCGGCUGGCGCCACCAUCGGAGGCCACCGCCUCGCCGUGGGCUGGCCGGCCCCGGCCCCGACGCUCGCCGCCGGCGUCCAGACGAAUCCAGCAGAGGUGGGGUCGGAAGCGGACAACGAAGCGGGCACACAACUCCGAUCACGACAAUUUGGAGGAAGGAGGCGACGAACGGCCCUGGCGUCGCUAGUCGGGCGGCGCGCGGAACGGUCCUGCACUCCUGACGCGCGACAGACGAUAGCUCGGCCAGCAGUCUUCCAAUCAUCAGACGCGGAGUGGCGGGCUCUGCGCCGCGAGGGCCUCUUCGGAGAAUCGCACGUGCUUGAUGUGCGCCGGAUAUUUGCCAGCUAGGCCCAAAUACAUUGCGUCAGUCGGACGGCGCGUCUGCGGUCCUGGAUCUCAUAUAUGGAAAUACCACCGAACUGUGGAUUAACGAGUGGCCCUUAUCACCAAAUUGUCGUCGGACGGCAGCUGUACAGUGGAUCCCGCAAUAUUCAUCAUAAUCUGGCAGCUGCACUGCAACGGUAGUGCCAACUUAACUAUGUACAGGGUUUGUAAAUCAAAUCUAGUCUCCUGUCCGUAGUCUGCGGGGCGGUCGCUGGUGUGUUUUGUACCGCCCGGCGUGUGCUGUGUUGUGGGUUUCUUCACCGUUGGCCGCUGAGCAGCGCGUCCAGCCUGAUUUGCCGUGCUAAUGUUGUAUGGUUUGACAUGCUCGUCUUUACGCAGCAAUACUAACGUGCCGAAAAUCGUCCACUGAAUAGAGUUAUGGAUUUU